AGUGAACGCUGGCGGCAGGCCUAACACAUGCAAGUCGAGCGGCAGCGCGGGGGCAACCCUGGCGGCGAGCGGCGGACGGGUGAGGAAUUCGUCGGAAUCUGCCUUUUUGUGGGGGAUAACGUAGGGAAACUUACGCUAAUACCGCAUACGUCCUACGGGAGAAAGUGGGGGACCGCAAGGCCUCACGCAGAAAGAUGAGCCGACGACCGAUUAGCUAGUUGGUGGGGUAAAGGCCCACCAAGGCGACGAUCGGUAGCUGGUCUGAGAGGAUGAUCAGCCACACUGGGACUGAGACACGGCCCAGACUCCUACGGGAGGCAGCAGUGGGGAAUAUUGGACAAUGGGCGCAAGCCUGCUCCAGCCAUGCCGCGUGUGUGAAGAAGGCCUUCGGGUUGUAAAGCACUUUUGUCCGGAAAGAAAUCCCUGGAGCUAAUACCUUCGGGGGAUGACGGUACCGGAAGAAUAAGCACCGGCUAACUUCGUG
This 484-nucleotide ribosomal RNA is filed under the name uncultured bacterium. Its description in RNAcentral is "partial 16S ribosomal RNA". It matches the Rfam family "Bacterial small subunit ribosomal RNA", at positions 29 to 507 of the family's 1533-position model. The record is from RNAcentral.